AUAAGCCUGGGAAACUGGGUCUAAUACCGAAUAUGACCACGCUCUUCAUGGGGUGUGGUGGAAAGCUUUUGCGGUGUGGGAUGGGCCCGCGGCCUAUCAGCUUGUUGGUGGGGUAAUGGCCUACCAAGGCGACGACGGGUAGCCGGCCUGAGAGGGUGACCGGCCACACUGGGACUGAGAUACGGCCCAGACUCCUACGGGAGGCAGCAGUGGGGAAUAUUGCACAAUGGGCGCAAGCCUGAUGCAGCGACGCCGCGUGAGGGAUGACGGCCUUCGGGUUGUAAACCUCUUUCACCAGGGACGAAGCGCAAGUGACGGUACCUGGAGAAGAAGCACCGGCCAACUACGUGCCAGCAGCCGCGGUAAUACGUAGGGUGCGAGCGUUGUCCGGAAUUACUGGGCGUAAAGAGCUCGUAGGUGGUUUGUCGCGUUGUUCGUGAAAACUCACAGCUUAACUGUGGGCGUGCGGGCGAUACGGGCAGACUAGAGUACUGCAGGGGAGACUGGAAUUCCUGGUGUAGCGGUGGAAUGCGCAGAUAUCAGGAGGAACAGCCGGUGGCGAA
RNAcentral lists this ribosomal RNA (563 nucleotides) under Mycolicibacterium mucogenicum. RNAcentral's name for it is "bacterial SSU rRNA". It matches the Rfam family "Bacterial small subunit ribosomal RNA", at positions 143 to 719 of the family's 1533-position model. Lineage: Bacteria; Bacillati; Actinomycetota; Actinomycetes; Mycobacteriales; Mycobacteriaceae. The record is from RNAcentral.